GUAGGGGGCAAGCGUUAUCCGGAAUUAUUGGGCGUAAAGGGUGCGUAGGCGGGUUAUCAAGUCUUUGGUCAAAAUGCGGUGCUCAACGCCGUAGUGCCAAAGAAACUGAUAGUCUAGAGUAUGGUAGAAGUGAGUGGAACUCCAUGUGUAGCGGUAAAAUGCGUAAAUAUAUGGAAGAACACCAGUGGCGAAGGCGGCUCACUAGGCCAAUACUGACGCUGAGACACGAAAGCGUGGGGAGCAAACAGGAUUAGAUACCCUGGUAGUCCACGCCGUAAACGAUGAUUACUAGGUGUUGGUGGGUAUGACCCAUCGGUGCCGCAGCAAACGCAAUAAGUAAUCCACCUGGGGAGU
This 354-nucleotide ribosomal RNA is filed under the name uncultured bacterium. RNAcentral describes it as "bacterial SSU rRNA". It matches the Rfam family "Bacterial small subunit ribosomal RNA", at positions 527 to 881 of the family's 1533-position model. The record is from RNAcentral.